UAGGAAGUAGGGCAGGAGAUCUGUCACACA
This 30-nucleotide non-coding RNA is filed under the name Rattus norvegicus (Norway rat). Lineage: Eukaryota; Metazoa; Chordata; Mammalia; Rodentia; Muridae. The record is from RNAcentral.